AGAAUCAACGCUGGCGGCGUGCCUAACACAUGCAAGUCGAGCGCGAAAGGGGGGCAACUCCUGAGUAGAGCGGCGAACGGGUGAGUAACGCGUGGGUAAUCUACCUUCGAGUGGGGAAUAACCCCGGGAAACUGGGGCUAGUACCGCAUGACAUCAUCGGGUCUUCGGGUCUGAUGAUCAAAGCCGGGGACCGCAAGGCCUGGCGCUUGAAGACGAGCCCGCGUCCGAUUAGCUAGUUGGCGGGGUAAUGGCCCACCAAGGCUUCGAUCGGUAGCCGGCCUGAGAGGGCGGACGGCCACGACGUGGGACUGAGACACGGCCCAGACUCCUACGGGAGGCAGCAGUGGGGAAUUUUUCGCAAUGGGGGAAACCCUGACGAAGCAACGCCGCGUGGAGGAUGAAGGCCUUCGGGUCGUAAACUCCUGUCGACGGACGAAAGUAGUCUGGCCCAAUACGCCGGCUAUCGACUGUACCGGUGGAGGAACGCCACGGCUAACUCGUCGUGCCCAGCAGCCGAC
This 518-nucleotide ribosomal RNA is filed under the name uncultured soil bacterium. RNAcentral describes it as "bacterial SSU rRNA". It matches the Rfam family "Bacterial small subunit ribosomal RNA", at positions 26 to 518 of the family's 1533-position model. The record is from RNAcentral.